RNAcentral lists this ribosomal RNA (405 nucleotides) under uncultured bacterium. Its description in RNAcentral is "partial 16S ribosomal RNA". It matches the Rfam family "Bacterial small subunit ribosomal RNA", at positions 28 to 526 of the family's 1533-position model. The record is from RNAcentral.
GACGCACGCUUGCGGCGUGCUUAACACAUGCAAGUCGAACGCGUGGCGAACGGGAGAGUAACACGUGGGUGAUCUGCCUUGCCCUUCGGGAUCAGCUUGGGAAACUGGGUCUAAUACCGGAUAGUGCAAGAUGAGCUCGGGGACUAUCAGCUUGUGGGUGGGGUACAGGAUCCCAAGGCGCGACGGGUAGCCGGCCUGAGAUGGGGUACGGCCACAUUGGGACUGAGAUACAGACCCGACUCCAACGGGAGGGAGCAGGGGGGAAUAUUGCAACAGGGGCGGAAGCCGGAUGCAGGGACGCUGCGUGGGAGAGGAAGGCCUUAGGGUUGUAACCUCCUUUCGACAGGGACGCGGUACCUGUAUAAGAAGGACCGGCUAACGACGUGCCAGCAGCCGCGGUAAUAC